This 254-nucleotide ribosomal RNA is filed under the name uncultured bacterium. RNAcentral's name for it is "partial 16S ribosomal RNA". It matches the Rfam family "Bacterial small subunit ribosomal RNA", at positions 524 to 776 of the family's 1533-position model. The record is from RNAcentral.
GACGAACCGUGCGAACGUUAUUCGGAAUCACUGGGCUUAAAGCGCGUGUAGGCGGGCCGCCACGUCGGGCGCUGAAAUCCCCCGGCUCAACCGGGGAACGGGCACCGAUACGAGCGGCCUGGAGGGGAGUAGGGGGACCUGGAACUUCCGGUGGAGCGGUGAAAUGCGUUGAGAUCGGAAGGAACGCCCGUGGCGAAAGCGAGGUCCUGGACGUUUACUGACGCUGAGACGCGAAAGCCAGGGGAGCGAACGGG